AGGGGAACCGGAACAGAGAGGAAUAAAUUGCUCCUUGCCCCAGUGAAGGUAUGAACUUUAUGAGGAUGGAAUAGCAAGUACACAAGGCUCGGCAGUGGAGAAGGACUAUCUUGUGUUUUGACAAUCUCCAGAGACCUAUAGAGAGGGAGAGGACAGAAUGCUGAGUUCCACAGGAGUAGUCAUUCCAGAAGGGAGACCCUGAAGCCUGGAUCCCUUGGCUUUGGAGCCUCUUGCCCUCCAUAGCUGCACUGGCUGGCCUAGGCCCUAGCGGAUGGAAGACAUCAAGUGAUCUUCCCUGACACCGCCACUGCCGGGAGACAGCAGAGAUGGAUGGCCCAGGUCUCCUCCUGCCUGGAGCAGUAUCUUUCAGUUCUGUUUCCUUGGGUGUUAUUUCUUCACAUGUGAAUAAAAGUCUCUGUAGGAAAGUA
Manis javanica (Malayan pangolin) is the source of this 428-nucleotide non-coding RNA. The record is from RefSeq and is a predicted model, not a curated record. NCBI's taxonomy places the organism in Eukaryota, Metazoa, Chordata, Mammalia, Pholidota, Manidae.